CUCUGGUGAGCAGUGCCAGUUCUAGUUGGGGAUCCCGACUGCGGCUUUACAGGGUCAUUUUGAUGCCACGGUUCUUCUUCGUGCCUCGGUUUCUCUCCUCAUUUGGCGGGAACAUAUCUGGCUUUCCCUCCCUACCUCACGGGGAUGUCAGUGCACUGAGUGGAGAAGCUGGUGCGAGGCUGCUAUGCACAACUCCGAACUGGGGGUCUUGGACCUGCUUUUCAGUUCAGGAGCGCGGUACCCCCAUCUUCCAAAGACGAGGCCAAACGCCUGCCCUUGUAGAGUUCCUGCCUCAGAGACCCCAAGUCCAGGAGAGACUUUUCUGGACCAUUAGCUUCUUUUUCCCUCCUGAGUCUCUGGAGUCUGUCUGGUCACAAGCUCUCAUCUCUGUUUUUAGCAAGAAGGAAGCAUUUUUGGGGGGAUCCCCUGGGGGCCCUGGAGCUGAAUUUUUCCAAGUCUGAAAUGCAGGUAAUUGAUCAGGCUCAGAUAGAUAACUCUUCUGAAGGUAUCACAUACUGUGUCAGCCCAGCUCUGCAGAGGUUCCUGGCAAUGUGAGGCAGGCUAAAGGGAAGUUCCCACCAAUGAUCCAUGUUGAAAAAGGGUGCUUGUGUCUCUGUGUGGGUAUAAGGGACACUCUCCAUGCCACCCCCUCUUCCCUGCCCCUUCCUCUCACUAGUCCACUCAGACCUUGCCUAGAAGGAACAGGGUUCAUGAUGAACUGGACUCUCUGGGGAACUGGUUGCCAUAGCAAUUUACCAGUCCAUUCCCUCUUUUGAUUUGGGAAGCCAGGGAGACCCUGCAGUUAUUCCCUUUGAGAACUGGGAGCAUCUCUUCCAGAUUAGUGCAAGGAGAGGGGUGGGUGGUGAUGGUGCUGGAAUGCCAGUACAGGGAGGCAUGACCUUUACAAAAGAAAGAGGAAAACUGGGGUCAUGGUCAUAUCCCCCUGGGCCUUUGUUUCCCCUGGAUUUUCCCACCUCCCUCAUUUGAAGCUGCCUUUUCUGACCUGCGAUUCUUCAGAAACUUGAAUCUUUGGCAGCUGCCUGUGAAACCCCUGUUGACAGGAUCCAUUUCCAAGAAGUAAACAAACAAGGACAAAAUAAAGGAACCCAGAGAGAACCUCCUCGAGGCAUCCAGCAAUAUCUUGCCCCACUUGUACUUGCUUCAGCCUGUGAUAGUAGCCUGGAACUCCUCCUUCUUUUCUUCCUCCUCCUCCUCAUUCAGUCGGACUCCUCCCUGCUCUCAGAGACUGCCGGAGGCACAGCCUUGCUCUCCCCUUCCCUCCCUGCUGAACAGCAGCAGAGGGUGUGAUCUCUUUGGAAGGACAAUCUCAAGUCCCUGGGCUGCCCUUGUUUCUGGGCCAGACUGUGUCUUCCCAGACCCUCUCCAGUGCAUCUGGAGCACCCAGAGAAGAAGCUUGUGGCCCGGAUGUUUGGGGAGCUGCCAGCCAUGGCGAGGGCUGACCGACUCCAGCAGGAAUUACCAGGUGGCUCUUGGAGCUGUCAUCGAGGUGAUGUCCUCCAGGAGACCGAGGGGCAGCUGGCUGUGGUGCCUCUGAGGAAUAUGAAGUGACAUCUGGAGAUGGAAACUGGAAAUGCAGCAAGGAAUGAGUGUCACUGCUUCUAAGGGCAACGUGCCAUUCAGACCUGAUCUGGACCAAUGACUGUUUCUCAGACCCAAGCAAUACACACCUGUUGCAACAGUAGUCAAGGGAACAUUUUCAUGAACUACUCAAGAUCUGUUUGAGUUCCUACACUGUGCUAGACAAGGAUGAUAACAUGAUAAAUAAAAUUAGAUCUUUAACAUAA
Long non-coding RNA from Suncus etruscus (white-toothed pygmy shrew), 1805 nucleotides. RefSeq lists it as uncharacterized. NCBI's taxonomy places the organism in Eukaryota, Metazoa, Chordata, Mammalia, Eulipotyphla, Soricidae. The record is from RefSeq and is a predicted model, not a curated record. The transcript is spliced from 2 exons.